Molecule: non-coding RNA, 46 nt
Filed under: Schistosoma margrebowiei
Lineage: Eukaryota; Metazoa; Platyhelminthes; Trematoda; Strigeidida; Schistosomatidae
Source: RNAcentral
ACAUUGCUGAAGUGUCCCAUAAUGGAACGAAACGGCCGUCCAGUGC